This 793-nucleotide ribosomal RNA is filed under the name uncultured bacterium. RNAcentral's name for it is "bacterial SSU rRNA". It matches the Rfam family "Bacterial small subunit ribosomal RNA", at positions 8 to 796 of the family's 1533-position model. The record is from RNAcentral.
AGAGUUUGAUCCUGGCUCAGAUUGAACGCUGGCGGCAUGCCUUACACAUGCAAGUCGAACGGCAGCGCGGGGCAACCUGGCGGCGAGUGGCGAACGGGUGAGUAAUAUAUCGGAACGUACCCUGGAGUGGGGGAUAACGUAGCGAAAGUUACGCUAAUACCGCAUACGAUCUAAGGAUGAAAGUGGGGGAUGCGCAAGCACCUCAUGCUCCUGGAGCGGCCGAUAUCUGAUUAGCUAGUUGGUGGGGUAAAGGCCUACCAAGGCAUCGAUCAGUAGCUGGUCUGAGAGGACGACCAGCCACACUGGAACUGAGACACGGUCCAGACUCCUACGGGAGGCAGCAGUGGGGAAUUUUGGACAAUGGGCGAAAGCCUGAUCCAGCAAUGCCGCGUGAGUGAAGAAGGCCUUCGGGUUGUAAAGCUCUUUUGUCAGGGAAGAAACGGUGAGGGCUAAUAUCCUUUGCUAAUGACGGUACCUGAAGAAUAAGCACCGGCUAACUACGUGCCAGCAGCCGCGGUAAUACGUAGGGUGCAAGCGUUAAUCGGAAUUACUGGGCGUAAAGCGUGCGCAGGCGGUUUUGUAAGUCUGUCGUGAAAUCCCCGGGCUCAACCUGGGAAUUGCGAUGGAGACUGCAAGGCUAGAAUCUGGCAGAGGGGGGUAGAAUUCCACGUGUAGCAGUGAAAUGCGUAGAGAUGUGGAGGAACACCGAUGGCGAAGGCAGCCCCCUGGGUCAAGAUUGACGCUCAUGCACGAAAGCGUGGGGAGCAAACAGGAUUAGAUACCCUGGUAGUCC